Molecule: ribosomal RNA, 468 nt
Filed under: uncultured bacterium
Lineage: Bacteria
Description: partial 16S ribosomal RNA
Rfam family: Bacterial small subunit ribosomal RNA
Source: RNAcentral
GACGAACGCUGGCGGCGUGCUUAACACAUGCAAGUCGAACGGAAAGGCCCUGCUUUUGUGGGGUGCUCGAGUGGCGAACGGGUGAGUAACACGUGAGUAACCUGCCCUUGACUUUGGGAUAACUUCAGGAAACUGGGGCUAAUACCGGAUAGGAGCUCCUGCUGCAUGGUGGGGGUUGGAAAGUUUCGGCGGUUGGGGAUGGACUCGCGGCUUAUCAGCUUGUUGGUGGGGUAGUGGCUUACCAAGGCUUUGACGGGUAGCCGGCCUGAGAGGGUGACCGGCCACAUUGGGACUGAGAUACGGCCCAGACUCCUACGGAGGGCAGAAGUGGGGAAUAUUGCACAAUGGGCGGAAGCCUGAUGCAGCAACGCCGCGUGCGGGAUGACGGCCUUCGGGUUGUAAACCGCUUUCGCCUGUGACGAAGCGUGAGUGACGGUAAUGGGUAAAGAAGCACCGGCUAACUACGUG